This is a long non-coding RNA of Oncorhynchus tshawytscha (Chinook salmon), 1256 nucleotides long. RefSeq lists it as uncharacterized. The record is from RefSeq and is a predicted model, not a curated record. Lineage: Eukaryota; Metazoa; Chordata; Actinopteri; Salmoniformes; Salmonidae. The transcript has 3 exons.
CCGGGAGAGACAGCACGGAGAGGAGAGGAACUGGGAGGAUGAGGAGGACAGGGUGGUGAGAGAGGAAGCGGAGGGAAGCACUGCAGUAAUCUCUAUUGAUUCAACCUGAGUUUCAGUAGCCCAGCCUCCCCAGUCUCCUCAGUGCCACCAGUGUUUCAUGACCUUUCAGGAUGCAGAGACAGAAGAGAGGUAUUUACGCUUCAAGCACCCAGUGAAGUAUGAGAGACAUCUCAGAGGUCGCACAGUGUUUGCCUGCUGUGUCUGCGACCGAACAUUCCCCUCCUCCCGCCUGCUCUCAGCUCACCAACGCACCCACAGCAAGUGGAAUCUGCCCCCUACUGGACCAGAAGACUCUCUCCAAGAAAGAACAGAUGGAGGAGAGGCUGAGGGGUCAGCCAUAGUAGUACGGCACCCCUGGAGAAAAUAGGGGUCAACUGUCUUGCUCAAGGACACAUCGACAGAUCUUUCACCGUGUCGGCAUGUUAUUUCAGGUAUAGACAAUGAAAAAAACAGAGCUGGUCCAAUGAGCUGUGAGCACUGUCAUAUCAUCUUCAAUGACCCUCGAACCUGGGAACGUCACAUGACGGCCAAGCACCCCCCAUCCCUGUCGACACCUACUUCACCAGGGAAUGCCUACCUGACUUCUAGACCUGCCAGGGGUCAACUACGACCCUAUCGCUGCUCCUCCUGUGGAGAGAGAUUCAUACAGGAAAGCACCCUGACCAAACACUGCACCGAGGCACACGCCAGCUGAGAGAGGAUGGUUCUGGGAGCAUAGAUACCAAGAUGAAGAGGACAAGAGGUAAGUUGGAGUGAUCUAUAUAUAUGAUUGUUUUCCAGGAGUGCCUUGACUAACUAUUUAUAAAGUUGUUUAACGAAGAAAUUACAUGUCACUUAUGAGAUUUAUCCUAUAAUUUCAUUGUAGGUCUUAGUGUCAACCCUUAUGCCAACUUUCUCCAACAAGAAACAGAAUCUUCACUAAAUCUAUUUUGAAUUAAUAUCUCUUUUAGGGCUGUGACAAUACCAGUAUUGCAAUAUUUUUUUCCAUGCCAAAAAUGAAAACGCGAGGCAGACUUUACUCUUUGUUCCUUUUUAUUUUCCAAGCUAUAGCUUUGAAAAUAAAUAAGUGAUUCUGGAUGAAAACAUAACGAUGUUUGUUUCCAACUUCAAGGCUGUUUCCCCAAAGAAGUUAAAUCCACUUUGUGUUUUGUUUCGUUGCCACAAUACUGGUAUCGUCCCGGCUCUAACAACUUGAA